This is a non-coding RNA of Pelobates cultripes (western spadefoot toad), 6342 nucleotides long. The record is from the annotation of a GenBank genome assembly. NCBI's taxonomy places the organism in Eukaryota, Metazoa, Chordata, Amphibia, Anura, Pelobatidae.
CUCCUCCUCUGUCUGUCCCUCCAGCCCAGCUUUCUCUCUCUCAAUCCCUGUUUCUUCUACACAAACCUCAACUCAUUCUCUCUCCCAGUCUCAGCCAGUAAUUCCCCCAGCCGCUCUGUCUCUCCACCAUUCUCGGGUCAGACUAACAACAGACCUGACCUGACUAGCUUAGGGUCAUUGUUGGAGGUAUAUCCCUAUGGAGGGCUGGCCAUGCUGGGCGGAUUUGUAGAGGUGGUCUUUUUAGCUUGCACGUUUUCUUCUCUCUUUCAGCCAUAUAGGAGUGUCACUCCCUUCCCUGGUCUCAUCUAGCUCUCUAUUGUUGAAUAGGAGUACAGAGAUUACUGGUACCCGAAAUACCUCCCCCACCCCUCCACCCCCCUUGUCUAUCUCCUUCCAACCCCUCUUUUUUUUAAUCGACAUCCAUCUCUGUCUUACCCUCGCUCCUUAUUAUCUACCACCGUCUUUGUUCCUUUUUCUCCAGUUUGGGUAGAAUUGAUGCUACCACCAUCUGUCCUGCAUCUUCCUACUUCGACAGGUAAAUGCAAUAAUUGGGUAUCUCUGAAGAGGUGUGUGCCUGUAUGUGUCUGCUUGGAAGAUGCACUAGGAGUCUGGGCUAUUCAUUAUGUGCAGAUAAUAUUCAAUUCAUUUGCUGUGCAUGUAAUUUUGCAUAAUUUAAUUGUGUGCUUCAUUUAAUUAUAUCACAUUACUCUGCCUGUAUUAUCACUGGGCAUGGUUUUAUGUGCAUGCAUUUACUUAUACACUUCAUUUUAUUAUAUUCAUGCAUACAUACUGUCACUAUAUCACAUUGCUUAUUAAUAUAUUAAUCUACAUGUUAUAUCCCUUGGCAUGUUAGUAGGCUAAAAUUAAUGAUAUACCAUAAUGACUGCACGCUGUCAUGUUGGCAUAUCCUAUUAUGUAUAUGUACAUUUAUCACUCAGCAUUUUAUUAUAUUAUUGGUAUCAUAAUAUAAUAUCAUAUCAUGUUAAUAACAUCUCAGCUUUUAUUAUCAUAUUAAAAUAUGUGAGUGUGUGUGUUUUAUAUGUUCAUAUUUUUAGGUGAUAUGCAUAUUCUUAAUUCUGAGUAAUGUUACCUGUACAUAAGGUUUAUUCUCCUAGUAUUAUAUCUCCAGGUAUAAUAUUAUGCAUGUGUCUAUGCUUUGCAUUUCAAAACACUCAUUUUAUAUAGUCCCACAUGUUAUAUAGCUUGCUCUUGCAUAAGAGAAUGAUGUGAUAUCUUGAUAUUUCAUUGUAUUGUUAAAUCUGCGAGAUAAGAACCCUAAAAUCAUUUCAGAUGUCUUUUUAUCUUGCAUAAACAAUGGUCUUUUUAUACAAUGCCACGUUUUGCCAAUUGCAGUCAUGUAUUUAGUACUGCUCAUAGACACAUGUAAUGACUGAAAUACACUUAAAACCCCAUAGGCCCUUCAGUUUCCUCUGAUAUAACAACUAGCUUGCCUUUUGCUCUGUAAGUGAAAAAUAAGUUUUAGUAAAAAAAAAUGAAUUAGAUCCUUUUGAAUAAUUAUGAUUCUUGACUGCCUAAAACCGAACUUAUGUGGUAGCAUGUUUAAAAAAUAAUUAAAUAAAUAAAUAUAUAUGUUGAAUGUUCCAAUGCCGGUUUAAAAUGAAAUUCUGAUCUAUUAAAUCAGUGUUUGACUGGUAGUAUAGAGAACACUUGGACAUAUUUGCACCUAUAGAUCCAUGCAUUUGGCAAACAGCAGCAACUUUGAAGAGGUCCUACUCCACCCUGAGGUUCUGUCAUGCAACGACAGUGCUGGGAGACAGAACAAUACACAGACCCAAUGCAAAGCCAAUGGGUGAUGUCAUAAUUCCUGUUAAAGCAGACUAAGCAGGUAUGAGAGGUCUGUACCCAGAAAAGGGGACUAUUUAAAAAAAAAAAAACUAAAAAAAAAACCUCUAAAACAUUGGCGUUGAUUAGUCUGUCAACUGCAUUUCUAGCCAUCAAUAAGGGGAGGAGGAAAUGCAGACACAGCAUGUUUUAUUCUAACAUGCACUUAUAAUUAGUCCGAACCAAGAGGUUUGCUUUAAAUAAAAAUACAAAAAAAAAAACUUGGAGGGGAGCUGCACUACCAUGAGGAUCUUUGACGAUAUUUAUGAAAAAGGAAAAAAUAUAUGUGAGCAUAUGUACUCCCAGCAAAAGCAAAAUGUGAGUGGAGCGUGUGAAAUGUUUCCUAAAACGAAACAAAACAAUGUUUCUGGCAGUAAAGACACUAUAGCCACCAAAACAACUUUAGCUUAAUGAAGCAGUUAUAGUGUAUAGAUCAUGCCUCUGAAGUUUCACUGCUCAAGUCUCUGCCAUUUAGAAUUUAAAUCACUAUUGUUUCUGUUCAUGCAGCUCCAGCCAUACCUACCCUUGCUGUAAGUCACACAAUCUGCAUGAAAACAAAAAAGAUAAAUUUUCAGUCAGAUGUUAACUUCCUUUAAAAGUUUGUAUCUCCUGCUCUGUAGAUUGAACUUUCAUCACACACAGGAGGCUCAUGCAGGUUUUGUGAGCUAUUAACAGAGCAGGAGAUUAGAAAUUCUAAACUAAACAUAAUUUGCAAUAAAGGUAGCAUAAACCUCAGAUGACUCUUUACAGGAAGUGUUUAGGAAGGAUGUGUAAAUCGCAUGCAGGGAGGUGUGCCUAGGGCUGCAUAAACAAAGUGAUUUAACUCCUAAAUGGCAGAGAAUUGAACAGUGAGACUGCAGGGAUAUGAUCUACAAUGGGCAAGGGCGUACCUAGAACAUUUGGCACCUGGGGCAGAUCCUGUGUUCAGCCCCCCUUAAACAAAAUCCCUUUCCCCCUUCUAUAAACCCCUGCACCCCCCUUCCAUAAACCUCCUGCACCCCUUCCCCCAAAAAGCUGCCUCUCCCUCUAAAGCCCCUUACAAAGGAAUUCAUUUUAUUACACAACAAUAUUAGCAAAAGUCUUCAGAGUCCAGUCCCAGGCACAUAGUCCCUCGCACAUACAGGGAGUGCAGAAUUAUUAGGCAAAUGAGUAUUUUGACCACAUCAUCCUCUUUAUGCAUGUUGUCUUACUCCAAGCUGUAUAGGCUCGAAAGCCUACUACCAAUUAAGCAUAUUAGGUGAUGUGCAUCUCUGUAAUGAGAAGGGGGUGUGGUCUAAUGACAUCAACACCCUAUAUCAGGUGUGCAUAAUUAUUAGGCAACUUCCUUUCCUUUGGCAAAAUGGGUCAAAAGAAGGACUUGACAGGCUCAGAAAAGUCAAAAAUAGUGAGAUAUCUUGCAGAGGGAUGCAGCACUCUUAAAACUGCAAAGCUUCUGAAGCGUGAUCAUCGAACAAUCAAGCGUUUCAUUCAAAAUAGUCAACAGGGUCGCAAGAAGCGUGUGGAAAAACCAAGGCGCAAAAUAACUGCCCAUGAACUGAGAAAAGUCAAGCGUGCAGCUGCCACGAUGCCACUUGCCACCAGUUUGGCCAUAUUUCAGAGCUGCAACAUCACUGGAGUGCCCAAAAGCACAAGGUGUGCAAUACUCAGAGACAUGGCCAAGGUAAGAAAGGCUGAAAGACGACCACCACUGAACAAGACACAAGCUGAAACGUCAAGACUGGGCCAAGAAAUAUCUCAAGACUGAUUUUUCUAAGGUUUUAUGGACUGAUGAAAUGAGAGUGAGUCUUGAUGGGCCAAAUGGAUGGGCCCGUGGCUGGAUUGUAAAGGGCAGAGAGGCUCCAGUCCGACUCAGACGCCAGCAAGAUGGAGGUGGAGUACUGGCUUGGGCUGGUAUCAUCAAAGAUGAGCUUGUGGGGCCUUUUCGGGUUGAGGAUGGAGUCAAGGUCAACUCCCAGUCCUACUGCCAGUUCCUGGAAGACACCUUCUUCAAGCAGUGGUACAGGAAGAAGUCUGCAUCCUUCAAGAAAAACAUGAUUUUCAUGCAGGACAAUGCUCCAUCACACGCGUCCAAGUACUCCACAGCGUGGCUGGCAAGAAAGGGUAUAAAAGAAGAAAAUCUAAUGACAUGGCCUCCUUGUUCACCUGAUCUGAACCCCAUUGAGAACCCGUGGUCCAUCAUCAAAUGUGAGAUUUACAAGGAGGGAAAACAGUACACCUCUCUGAACAGUGUCUGGGAGGCUGUGGUUGUUGCUGCACGCAAUGUUGAUGGUGAACAGAUCAAAACACCGACAGAAUCCAUGGAUGGCAGGCUUUUGAGUGUCCUUGCAAAGAAAGGUGGCUAUAUUGGUCACUGAUUUGUUUUUGUUUUGUUUUUGAAUGUCAGAAAUGUAUAUUUGUGAAUGUUGAGAUGUUAUAUUGGUUUCACUGGUAAUAAUAAAUAAUUGAAAUGGGUAUAUAUUUGUUUUUUGUUAAGUUGCCUAAUAAUUAUGCACAGUAAUAGUCACCUGCACACACAGAUAUCCCCCCAACAUAGCUAUAACUAAAAACAAACUAAAAACUACUUCCAAAAAUAUUCAGCUUUGAUAUUAAUGAGUUUUUUGGGUUCAUUGAGAACAUGGUUGUUGUUCAAUAAUAAAAUUAAUCCUCAAAAAUACAACUUGCCUAAUAAUUCUGCACUCCCUGUAGUUACAGAUAGUCACACAUCCAAUUACAGGCCGAUAGUCACAUAGUCACAUACAGUAACAGGCAACAUCCCCCAAUCACAGGAAGACAGACACACACACACACACACACAGUUACAUGCAGACAGUCACACACACAGUCACACUGUCACACACAGAGUUACAGGCAAGCAGUCACACACACACAAACACAUACAGUCACAGGCAGACAGUCACACACACAGUUACAGGCAGACAGUUACACACACAGUUACAGGCAUAAACACAGUCACAGAAAGACAGUCUCACACACACACGCACAGUUACAGACAGGCAGUUUCACACACAGUCACAGGCAUACAGUCACACACACAGUUACAGGAUGUCAGUCACAGAAAGACAGUCACGCACACACACACAGUUACAUGCAGACAGUCACACACAGGCACACUGUCACACACAGAGUAACAGGUAAGCAGUCAUACACAGUCACAGGCAGACAGUCACACACACAGUUACAGGCAGACAAUUACACACACAGUUACAGGCAUAAACACAGUCACAGAAAGACAGUAACACACACACACACAGUUACAGGCAGGCAGUCUCACACACAGUCACAGGCAUACAGUCACACACACACACAGUUACAGGAUGGCAGUCACAGAAAGACAGUCACGCACACACACACACACACACACACAGUUACAGGCAGGCAGUCUCAAACAUGCACAGUUACAGGAUGGCAGUCUUACACACACAGUCACAAGCAGACAGUCACACACACACACAGUCACAGGCAGGCAGUCACACACACACACGCACAGUCACAGGCAGACAGACACACACAGUUACAGGCAGACAGUCACACGCACAGUCUCACACACACACACACAGUUACAGGCAGACAGUCUCACACACACUCUAUCUCUCCCUUCCUCUGACUUACAGUCAGCUUGGGCGGGAGGAGAAGUAAAUUCAGUCCCUGGUGUGUAGUUGUUUGGGAAGCUCGAUGUGCAGCAGUAACAGCAGCGGGUGGAGGCUGUGUUUAGCUCCGCCCCUGCUGCUGGUUUGGCUCUGCGCCUGCUGCCGAUUAGCUCUGUCCUGUUUGUUUUAGAUGUGGCGGUUUUAAAGUUCUGCGGCUGCCUGUCCCUGCGUGUGUGAGCUGUGCGGCUGCCAUGGCAACCGGUCCAUGUGCACAGCUCACACAUCCUAAGGCCGCUCUGGUCAUGGCACCCCCUAGUGAGUGGUACACGGGGCGGACCACCCACACCCCCACCCCAUACUUAGUACGCCACUGACAAUGGGUAUGAUAUACAACAAAACUAGUUCAUUAAGCUAAGUUGUUUUGGUGACUAUAGUGUCCCUUUAAGUUAAGCAGCUUUCCUGGGAGAAUAUGCACUUAAUUCCAUAUAUUAGUGAUGUUUUUUAAAAACUAUAAAUGCCAAAAUUUAUUUUCUUCUUAUCUUACACAGGUGUCCUCUGGGCCCCCCACUCUCAUCUUUCAGCCCAGUGGGGGCCAUGAUAUCUCCUAAAGAGAAGAACAAAGCCCGCCCUCCAAAGGACAGCAUGACACUGCUUCCCUGUUUCUAUUUUGUGGAGGUGAGUGAUUCUUUAGACAGGCUGUGGAGACCUUCCAAGAGAUGGUGUACUCCUACGAUAAUCCUCAUUUUUUGUGGUAUAUUUUUAUUGAAUACUUUUCAUGCUAUAAUAAUAACAUUGGGUAGCUGAGCUUUGAUGUGAGCUUUUGAUUGUGACACAUAAAUUCAAACAUAUUGAGUGCAAUUUGCCUAUUGGUAGGUUGGAACAAUGGCUGGCAUUAAAAUUCCCAGACAAAAAG